Molecule: long non-coding RNA, 1180 nt
Filed under: Apteryx haastii (Great spotted kiwi)
Lineage: Eukaryota; Metazoa; Chordata; Aves; Apterygiformes; Apterygidae
Description: lncRNA (ENSAHAG00000005475.1)
Source: RNAcentral
CCAGGCGCUGGCGAGAGCCGUGCCCUGACGCCCCUGCAAGCGCCGCAGCGCCCGUGCGAGUGCUGUGGCACCCGUGCAAGCACCGCGGUGCCCGUGCAAGCUGGGCAAUGCCCGUGCAAGCACCGGGGGACCCGUGCAAGCACCGCAGUGCCCGUGCAAGCACAGCAGGAGCAAUGCAAGCUGGGCAAUGCCCGUGCAAGCCCCACGGUGCCCGUGCAAGCACUGCAGGAGCAAUGCAAGCUGGACGAUGCUCGUGCAAGCACAGCAGUGCCCGUGCAAGCACGGCAGCGCCCGUGCAAGGGCCGCAGUGCCCGUGCAAGCACAGCAGCACCCGUGCAAGCACCGGGGGACCAAUGCAAGCCCCGCAGUGCCUGUGCAAGCACGGCAGCGCCCGUGCAAGGGCAGCAGGGCCCGCGCGAGCCCCCUCGGUGCCCGUGCGAGCGCUGCGGGUGCGCGCAGGCGGGCACCCAGCGCUACCUGGCGCCCGAGAUCCUGGACGAGAGCCUGGACCUGCGGGCCUGGGGCCGGGCGCUGCGGCAAGCCGACGUCUACGCGCUGGCGCUGCUGCUCUGGGAGAUCCUGUCGCGGUGCCAGGCGCUGAGCCCCGGCCGCCCCGUGCCCGAGUUUCGGCUGGCCUACGAGGCCGAGCUGGGCGGCAGCCCCACGCCGGCGCGGCUGCGGCGCUUGGCCGUGGAGGAGCGGCGGCGGCCGCUGAUCCCCCCCGCUUGGCACCGCGCCGGGCAGGUGAGGCGGCAGGCAACCGGGGGGCUGAGGGGACACCGCGCCGGGGCGGCAGCCGGGUGUCCUUGCAUGGGGUGACCGUGCCCGGGGGGUCCCAGGGGUGACCAGGGUGCUCAGGUGCUCGUGCAUAGGGGGGGCCCUGCAUGGGGUGACCGUGCCCAGGGUGCCCAAGGGGUCCCGGGGGUGACCAGGGUGCCCAGGUGCUCGUGCAUGGGGAGGUCCCUGCACGGGGUGACCAUGUCCAGAGGGUCCCAAGGGUGACAAGGGUGCUCGGGUGCUCAUGCACGGGGAGGUCCCUGCACAGGGUGACCAUGCCCAGGGUGUCCAGGGGGUCCCAGGGGUGACCAGGGUGCCCAGGUGUCCUUGCUCAGGGAGGUCCCUACAUGGGGUGACCAUGCCCAGGGGGUCCAGAGGGUCCCAGGGGUGACAAGGGGUGACC